RNAcentral lists this ribosomal RNA (497 nucleotides) under uncultured bacterium. RNAcentral's name for it is "partial 16S ribosomal RNA". It matches the Rfam family "Bacterial small subunit ribosomal RNA", at positions 28 to 507 of the family's 1533-position model. The record is from RNAcentral.
GAUGAACGCUGGCGGCGUGCCUAAUACAUGCAAGUCGAGCGAACGGACGAGAAGCUUGCUUCUCUGAUGUUAGCGGCGGACGGGUGAGUAACACGUGGAUAACCUACCUAUAAGACUGGGAUAACUUCGGGAAACCGUAGCUAAUACCGGAUAAUAUUUUGAACCGCAUGGUUCAAAAGUGAAAGACGGUCUUGCUGUCACUUAUAGAUGGAUCCGCGCUGCAUUAGCUAGUUGGUAAGGUAACGGCUUACCAAGGCAACGAUGCAUAGCCGACCUGAGAGAGUGAUCGGCCACACUAGAACUGAGACACGGUCCAGACUCCUACGGGAGGCAGCAGUAGGGAAUCUUCCGCAAUGGGCGAAAGCCUGACGGAGCUACGCCGCGUGAGUGAUGAAGGUCUUCGGAUCGUAAAACUCUGUUAUUAGGGAAGAACAUAUGUGUAAGUAACUGUGCACAUCUUGACGGUACCUAAUCAGAAAGCCACGGCUAACUACGUG